Molecule: long non-coding RNA, 2301 nt
Organism: Callithrix jacchus (white-tufted-ear marmoset)
Lineage: Eukaryota; Metazoa; Chordata; Mammalia; Primates; Cebidae
Source: RefSeq, a predicted model, not a curated record
UGGUCUCCACCUGCCACCUCCCCCACUCCGCUGAGUUCAAUAGAAUGUAGCCUGUGUCCUGGGUGAUGGUCGAGUCUUAGGUUGCUUUCAUUUCCUCUUAGUUCCUCUAGGUGUUUGGGGUUACGGGGUGCCAGAAAACAGGGGCCCACAUCUUUUGAAAUGAGAAUCAGAGGGCUCCACACAUUUGUGUUUCUGGGAGAGACACACUUGAGGCUUUUGCAGACCAGUUUUUUAUUUGUUUAUUUAUUUUUUUGAGACAGAGUUUCGCUCUUGUUGCCCAGGUUGGAGUGCAGUGGCAGCUCACCACAACCUCCGAUCCCAGGUUCAAGCGAUUCUCCUGCCUCAGGCUCCUGAGUAGCUGGGAUCACAGGCACCUGCCACCACGGUUGGCUAACUUUUGUAUUUUUAGUAGAGACGGGGUUUCUCCAUGCUGGUCAGGCUGGUCUCAAACUCCCGACCUCAGGUGAUCCUCCCACGUUGGCCUCCCAAAGUGCUGGGAUUACAGGCGUGAGCCACCGCGCCCGGCGCAGAGCAGUUUUUAUUCGUCAUAGCAAGGAGGAUUUUGAUAUUAUGCUCAAAUCCCUCACAUCGUCCCUGGGAUAUAAUCUGCUCUCCGUCAGAUUGUGUUGAAGGAAGAAUGAGGCGCUACUGAAAGGAGGACCUCAGACCUUCCAUGCGAUGCAAAGGAGGAGGAGCAGAUGGGCAGGGAAGGGCUGCAGCCCAGCAGGACCGUCUAGCCUGUGCAGGAAGCUUAUACAUUGAGGCUGCAGUAUUUUUCUUGAGAUGGAGUCUCACUGUCACCCAGGUUGAAGUGCAGUGGCAUGAUCUCGGUUCACCGCAACCUCCAUCUUCUGGGUUCAAGCUAUGCUCCUGCCUCAACCUCUCCAGUAGCUGGGAUUACAGGCGAACACCACCACACCUGGCUAAUUUUUGUAUUUUUAGUAGAGACGGGGUUUCACCAUGUUGGUCAGGCUGGCCUCAAACUCCUGACCUAAAUGGAUCCACCAACCUCGGCUUCCCAAAAUGCUGGGAUUACAGGCGUGAGCCACUGUGCCCGUUUGGAUGCAGUAGUUUCAGUCUGACAGAAACACAAUUUUCAAGCAUACAUUUUCUUUUAAUCUUGAAGAAUAGUCAUUAUGACACAUCUUGGGUCACACCGACCUCCGGAUUCAUCCAGUGUGUCCAUGGCUGCUAAUCGUGAUAUUUUCAACUAAAAACAAGCAAACCUGAUUUUUGCUAAAUGUUUCCGGCUGUAAGAUGUCAAUUGCUACAAUUUAGUUUCCAGGUGAUCUGUUAUUUUGAACAAACGUUAAACUUUAAUAUUCUACUACAUUCUUUUUUUUUUUGAGACGGAGUUUCACUCCUGUCACCCAGGCUGGAGUGCAAUGGCGUGAUCUCAGCUCACCUCGACCUCCGCCUCCUGGGUUCAGGCAAUUCUCCUGCCUCAGCCUCCUGAGUAGCUGGGAUUACAGGCACGUGCCACUGUGCCCAGCUAAUUUUUUGUAUUUUUAGUAGAGACGGGGUUUCACCAUGUUGACCAGGAUGGUCUCGAUCUCUUGACCUCAUGAUCCACCUGCCUCGGCCUCCCAAAGUGCUGGGAUUAUAGGUGUGAGCCACCGCGCCCGGCUCUGCUACGUUCUUAAGUGAGCAAAAAAAACCCCACAAAUCUUCGCUUGUCACAGCUGUUUAACGUUUUAUGAACCUGACGCCUGUCCUUCAUUACUCUGAGGUUGAAAGCUUUCGUUCAGCUCACGUGAGGAUUGAAAAAGAACUCUCAUGGUGUUGCUUACCACAGUUCCUACUUUUCAUAAUAUGUAAUAUGUAAAAACACUGUAUUUGAGCUGCUCACGAGACGCAUUUUAUGUUUACCUAAACGUAAUGAUCAUUUCACAGAAUGCAAAAAGGUUUUUACCAUAGUCUAAAAUCACAGAAGUAAAAACAUAGUAAUUACAGGUUUUCAGAUUUCUUUUCAGGUUACUCAGAUUUGAUUCAUAGCAAAUAUUCUUUGUUUCGUUUUUUAAACAGGCUCGUUCCAAACUGAAUAAAUUUUCAAUGGUGGAAAAAUAGAAAGAAAUUUCUUUUGUGUAAAACAAAUACUGUGAUGAAAAGGAAAAUCAGCACUCUGUGUUCAACAGUUACUUAUGAAGUAAUUUAUUACAGAGUUAUCUCUGCAAUUAUCAUAAUUGGGUUGCCACUGAAUCUUUGUUUCAAAAAUGUGUGUUUUUAAAAUUUCUUACUCUGUGCAAGGAAAUGGUUUGACAUAUUUAUACCUUUUGUUGUGGUAAAAUGUUUAUUCCUAAA